Molecule: ribosomal RNA, 1051 nt
Filed under: Latilactobacillus curvatus
Lineage: Bacteria; Bacillati; Bacillota; Bacilli; Lactobacillales; Lactobacillaceae
Description: bacterial SSU rRNA
Rfam family: Bacterial small subunit ribosomal RNA
Source: RNAcentral
UAGAUUGAAGAAGCUUGCUUCUGAUUGAUAACAUUUGAGUGAGUGGCGGACGGGUGAGUAACACGUGGGUAACCUGCCCUAAAGUGGGGGAUAACAUUUGGAAACAGAUGCUAAUACCGCAUAAAACCUAGCACCGCAUGGUGCAAGGUUGAAAGAUGGUUUCGGCUAUCACUUUAGGAUGGACCCGCGGUGCAUUAGUUAGUUGGUGAGGUAAAGGCUCACCAAGACCGUGAUGCAUAGCCGACCUGAGAGGGUAAUCGGCCACACUGGGACUGAGACACGGCCCAGACUCCUACGGGAGGCAGCAGUAGGGAAUCUUCCACAAUGGACGAAAGUCUGAUGGAGCAACGCCGCGUGAGUGAAGAAGGUUUUCGGAUCGUAAAACUCUGUUGUUGGAGAAGAACGUAUUUGAUAGUAACUGAUCAGGUAGUGACGGUAUCCAACCAGAAAGCCACGGCUAACUACGUGCCAGCAGCCGCGGUAAUACGUAGGUGGCAAGCGUUGUCCGGAUUUAUUGGGCGUAAAGCGAGCGCAGGCGGUUUCUUAAGUCUGAUGUGAAAGCCUUCGGCUCAACCGAAGAAGUGCAUCGGAAACUGGGAAACUUGAGUGCAGAAGAGGACAGUGGAACUCCAUGUGUAGCGGUGAAAUGCGUAGAUAUAUGGAAGAACACCAGUGGCGAAGGCGGCUGUCUGGUCUGUAACUGACGCUGAGGCUCGAAAGCAUGGGUAGCAAACAGGAUUAGAUACCCUGGUAGUCCAUGCCGUAAACGAUGAGUGCUAGGUGUUGGAGGGUUUCCGCCCUUCAGUGCCGCAGCUAACGCAUUAAGCACUCCGCCUGGGGAGUACGACCGCAAGGUUGAAACUCAAAGGAAUUGACGGGGGCCCGCACAAGCGGUGGAGCAUGUGGUUUAAUUCGAAGCAACGCGAAGAACCUUACCAGGUCUUGACAUCCUUUGACCACUCUAGAGAUAGAGCUUUCCCUUCGGGGACAAAGUGACAGGUGGUGCAUGGUUGUCGUCAGCUCGUGUCGUGAGAUGUUGGGUUAAGUCCCG